This 75-nucleotide antisense RNA is filed under the name Streptomyces leeuwenhoekii. Its description in RNAcentral is "ASpks sRNA". It matches the Rfam family "ASpks TB sRNA". The record is from RNAcentral. Lineage: Bacteria; Bacillati; Actinomycetota; Actinomycetes; Kitasatosporales; Streptomycetaceae.
CUUCAGCGAGCCGAGCCAGAGCGGGCGGUCCGCGGGCCGACCCUGGCCGUAGGUGGCGAGGAGCGCCUGGGCCUC